This 658-nucleotide ribosomal RNA is filed under the name uncultured Bacteroidales bacterium. RNAcentral's name for it is "bacterial SSU rRNA". It matches the Rfam family "Bacterial small subunit ribosomal RNA", at positions 81 to 740 of the family's 1533-position model. The record is from RNAcentral. Lineage: Bacteria; Pseudomonadati; Bacteroidota; Bacteroidia; Bacteroidales.
UUCAAUUGCCGGCGACGGCGCACGGGUGCGUAACGCGUAUGUACCUACCUAUAACAGGGGCAUAACACUGAGAAAUGGUACUAAUUCCCCAUAAUAUUCGGAGAGGCAUCUCUCCGGGUUGAAAACUCCGGUGGUUAUAGAUGGACAUGCGUUGUAUUAGCUAGUUGGUGAGGUAACGGCUCACCAAGGCAACGAUACAUAGGGGGACUGAGAGGUUAACCCCCCACACUGGUACUGAGACACGGACCAGACUCCUACGGGAGGCAGCAGUGAGGAAUAUUGGUCAAUGGACGCAAGUCUGAACCAGCCAUGCCGCGUGCAGGAAGACGGCUCUAUGAGUUGUAAACUGCUUUUGUACGAGGGUAAACUCACCUACGUGUAGGUGACUGAAAGUAUCGUACGAAUAAGGAUCGGCUAACUCCGUGCCAGCAGCCGCGGUAAUACGGAGGAUUCAAGCGUUAUCCGGAUUUAUUGGGUUUAAAGGGUGCGUAGGCGGUUUGAUAAGUUAGAGGUGAAAUCCCGGGGCUUAACUCCGGAACUGCCUCUAAUACUGUUAGACUAGAGAGUAGUUGCGGUAGGCGGAAUGUAUGGUGUAGCGGUGAAAUGCUUAGAGAUCAUACAGAACACCGAUUGCGAAGGCAGCUUACCAAACUAUAUC